UCCCGCGUAGCUCAAUCGGCAGAGCAUGCGACUGUUAAUCGCAGGGUUCCUGGUUCAAGUCCAGGCGCGGGAG
Molecule: transfer RNA, 73 nt
Filed under: Actinomycetota bacterium
Lineage: Bacteria; Bacillati; Actinomycetota
Description: tRNA-Asn
Rfam family: tRNA
About the family: Transfer RNA (tRNA) molecules are approximately 80 nucleotides in length. Their secondary structure includes four short double-helical elements and three loops (D, anti-codon, and T loops).
Source: RNAcentral